RNAcentral lists this ribosomal RNA (253 nucleotides) under uncultured bacterium. RNAcentral's name for it is "partial 16S ribosomal RNA". It matches the Rfam family "Bacterial small subunit ribosomal RNA", at positions 524 to 776 of the family's 1533-position model. The record is from RNAcentral.
UACGGAGGGUGCAAACGUUGCUCGGAAUCAUUGGGCGUAAAGCGAACGUAGGCGGCUAUGUAAGUCGGGUGUGAAAGCCCAGAGCUCAACUCUGGAAGUGCAUUCGAAACUGCAUGGCUUGAGUAGCGGAGAGGAUAGCGGAAUUCCCGGUGUAGAGGUGAAAUUCGUAGAUAUCGGGAGGAACACCAGUGGCGAAGGCGGCUAUCUGGACGCAUACUGACGCUGAAGUUCGAAAGCGUGGGGAGCGAACAGG